This 492-nucleotide ribosomal RNA is filed under the name uncultured bacterium. RNAcentral's name for it is "partial 16S ribosomal RNA". It matches the Rfam family "Bacterial small subunit ribosomal RNA", at positions 29 to 507 of the family's 1533-position model. The record is from RNAcentral.
AGUGAACGCUGGCGGUAGGCCUAACACAUGCAAGUCGAACGGCAGCACAGUAAGAGCUUGUUCUUACGGGUGGCGAGUGGCGGACGGGUGAGGAAUACAUCGGAGUCUACUUUUUCGUGGGGGAUAACGUAGGGAAACUUACGCUAAUACCGCAUACGACCUACGGGUGAAAGCAGGGGAUCUUCGGACCUUGCGCGAUUGAAUGAGCCGAUGUCGGAUUAGCUAGUUGGCGGGGUAAAGGCCCACCAAGGCGACGAUCCGUAGCUGGUCUGAGAGGAUGAUCAGCCACACUGGAACUGAGACACGGUCCAGACUCCUACGGGAGGCAGCAGUGGGGAAUAUUGGACAAUGGGCGCAAGCCUGAUCCAGCCAUACCGCGUGGGUGAAGAAGGCCUUCGGGUUGUAAAGCCCUUUUGUUGGGAAAGAAAAGCAGCAGGUUAAUACCCCGCUGUUCUGACGGUACCCAAAGAAUAAGCACCGGCUAACUUCGUG